GUCUACAGCCAUACCACCCUGAACUCACCUGAUCUCGGAAGCUAAGCAGGGUCAGGCCUGGUUAGUACUUGGAUGGGAGAACUGCCAGCUUGGAGGAAUCAGUUUGGAGCAAAUG
Molecule: ribosomal RNA, 115 nt
Filed under: Mus musculus (house mouse)
Lineage: Eukaryota; Metazoa; Chordata; Mammalia; Rodentia; Muridae
Source: RNAcentral